This 305-nucleotide long non-coding RNA is filed under the name Olea europaea (common olive). Its description in RNAcentral is "long non-coding RNA (OEUR_LNC011027)". Lineage: Eukaryota; Viridiplantae; Streptophyta; Magnoliopsida; Lamiales; Oleaceae. The record is from RNAcentral.
AAAUUAGCAGGAAUUUUAGUUUGAGAAUUUUCCCUUCAUUUGGUAUCCACUCUCUGCCCUGGAAGGCAUACUCACGCAAUUUUAGCACUUCUAGAUUGGGCAAGGAACCAAAAAUACUUAUGUAUUCCCAAUCAAUUCUACCACGCUCCAAAGUUAUCUUUUUGAGACUUGAUGGCAAAGUAAUGUUAAUGAAUGUAGAAUUUGUUGGUGAGUCCAAGAGAAUCUUUAGUGUUUUUAGCCUUCGGAGAUGAGCAAAAUGGUUGAGAGAGUGAGAUGACUCAGAAUUAUAAUGAAUUCCCAAUUUC